GUGGUAUUCAUGAUUAGUGUGCUGGCUGCUAUCGAGUGGGAGAUUGAGGCCGAACCCUCGGGACUGCCGCCGCCAGCGGCGGAGGGAGGAGGAAGAAGACCGUCGUCGUGAAGGGAUCACCCCCGGGUUUUAGGAUCAACGAUCUGACUUUUCGUCACACACGGGGCCCCUCCUAGCUACCAUGAUUCCCGGAUGUCUUCUCUUGGCCUUUUUCCUCCCAGUCCCUUGGCUUCUUCACGUUGUUCUGGUUUUCUUCCGCCGACAGCUCCGUUGACCGGUCACCUCGCC
This 288-nucleotide long non-coding RNA is filed under the name Spirodela polyrhiza (greater duckweed). RNAcentral describes it as "long non-coding RNA (SPOL_LNC001148)". The record is from RNAcentral. Lineage: Eukaryota; Viridiplantae; Streptophyta; Magnoliopsida; Alismatales; Araceae.